This 1220-nucleotide long non-coding RNA is filed under the name Crocodylus porosus (Australian saltwater crocodile). RNAcentral describes it as "lncRNA (ENSCPRG00005018660.1)". The record is from RNAcentral. Lineage: Eukaryota; Metazoa; Chordata; Crocodylia; Crocodylidae.
GAUGGGGAAAAGGAAGAAAUAAUUAGGGCUGCCUACACUGACAAAAACCUCUAGGCUUUCCUUUCUGUGGUUUUUGCACCACUGGAGAGGGGAAGAGUGAAGAUAGAGAUUAUAUCCUUCUCUGUUCUGGUGUGAAUGGGGGUAGUGGAAAAAUUGUUGGUGCAUCGGUUCCUAGAGCUGAAGAACAGCAAGGAGAACAGCAAGAACAGGGAAAAGGAACCAUAGAAAAGUAACGAUCAGGGUCAGCAGUUAACUGGAGUGCAAAGGUUGCAAAGUAGUGGUUGUUCUGGGAAGUUUAAGUGAGAAACAAAUGCAUCUAGCAUAAGGGAGCAGCAGAAUAUGAAGCAGGGAGGGGAAGGAAGGUUAAAAGGGGCACAUGUUCCCUCUAUCAGAUGUGGCUAAGUGUGUGCUGUACAGGAAACUGCUGUCUCCUGACCACUUCUGAAGCUGCCAGUCUUUCUUCCUCCAACCCCUUCCUCCCCCUUUUUGCUUUUUAUGGGCCAGCAACAAGCCAUGGCUCACUCUCCCUGCAUGCAUCCAGUGGAGCACUCUGUUAAAAAGAACUAUUUAGUUUUUGUUUUCUGUUUUACUCUGUGCAUACAUGCAGCACAGAGGGAUGAAUAGUAAGAAAAGCCAGUGGCAAUGUGAAUGGUGGAGAAAGGAUGGAGUGGGUUACCUAAGGGGAAAACAACGGGGGAGACGCUCUUGAAAUCUGAUCUUGGGCAGUCAUUUAUUCUGCACAACAGUUAAAAUAAAAUAGAUGGGACAUUAGUGGUAACUGAUGACAUACAUAGGCUGACUUUAUCAUGAUAACCAGGGAUCCUGGUUUUCUCCACUAAUUAGUGGUGUUUCAUUUUAAUCAUGGAAAAAUGUGCAUUUUGGAGUUACUUUUUUUAAACCAAAAAUUCAGGGUUUUUUUUUAUCAGAGAAAACCAGGAUCCCUGAUGAUAGGUGCAAAAUGAGUCUGAUGGUGAAUGCAGCACUGGAUAGCCUUACAAAAGAGACAAAAUGAAAUCUGCUCCCUUAAGGGCAAGCACUCAUCUCCUUCGCUGUGGUCCCGUCUACACAAGAUGCUACUGCACAGGUCUUCACUCAGAUCCCAACAAUUUUAUAACCUACUGCAUUAUGUACUCUACUGCAAGGACAUCUCUCACUUCAUUUCAUUUUACCUGUGUUUUGAUUUUUUGUGCUAACUGCUUGUAAAUAAAACUGAUUUUGUC